Molecule: non-coding RNA, 118 nt
Filed under: Homo sapiens (human)
Lineage: Eukaryota; Metazoa; Chordata; Mammalia; Primates; Hominidae
Source: Rfam by way of RNAcentral
GCCGGGCGUGGUGGUUCACGCCUGUAAUCCCAGCACUUUGGGAGGCUGAGGUGGGUGGAUUACUUGAGGUCAGGAGUUUGAGAACCAGCCUGGCCAACAUGGUGAAACCCCAUCUCUA